This 190-nucleotide ribosomal RNA is filed under the name uncultured bacterium. RNAcentral describes it as "partial 16S ribosomal RNA". It matches the Rfam family "Bacterial small subunit ribosomal RNA", at positions 1312 to 1500 of the family's 1533-position model. The record is from RNAcentral.
UCGCCUGCAUGAAGUCGGAAUUGCUAGUAAUCNCGGAUCAGCAUGCCGCGGUGAAUACGUUCCCGGGCCUUGUACACACCGCCCGUCACACCAUGGGAGCCGGUAACACCCGAAGUCAGUAGCCUAACAGCAAUGAGGGCGCUGCCGAAGGUGGGAUUGGUGACUGGGGGUGAAGUCGUAACAAGGUAAC